GUGAUCAGAUUAAUUACUUAUAGCACUAGUUAUAUUAGGCUAACCCAAAAAGCUAGUGGCAGUCUGGCAGACGGUGUUAGCGAGGGACUGGUCACUGGUGGGCGUUGCUUCCUUGUGACACCAGUGAUGGCGCUCGUCUGGAAGACAACAACACGAUGCUGGGGGAUAGAGAAGAAACCCUUGGUCGCAAGGCCAACCAACAGCCACCCGCUGCAAGGGGUGAGGGACAGAUCCUUAAGGGACAAUGAACCUUCCCGAGAUAAGAAAACCAAGCCACUUAUUCAGUCCAUGGUGAUGGAUCCCCUGUCAGCUGUUCUGGAUGAUGGACCAGAUCCUUUAAGUGACCUCCUAGCCUCCCCAGAUCCCUUAUCAGUACAGACAGCCUCUCACAAGGCCCUGAAGGAUAGCCAGGAGGAGGAGAACAGCGUCCCCAGUAGCUGGCACACCAACUGGACCCGGACCCAGAAUCACAUUCUGACCAAUUUCACCACCACCAGCACUCUCACCUUCAUGUCCAGCUUUCUUCACCCAGCAGACACAGCUGAGAGCAGAGCUGUCCCAUCCCACAGACGUGUGGUGAAGGCUCAGACAGCAGUUCCAGAGAGGCAUCGAGCACAAGGCAUGAGUGGCAGUGAGCGUAUCCGUGCACGGCUGGAGCAGAUGGACACCCUGGAUGAGAUGAGUGGUGGGGUGGUGCGUGAGGUGGGCGGCCUCACUCAGAGUGAGUUCACUCAUCGCCUCAACACCCUGAAGCAAGAAAUGAUUCAAGCCUGGAACUCUGACCAACGUGUGAAAGCUCUCAAAAUUGCCAUUCAGUGUGUGAAGUUGCUGAACCUUUCAGCGCCAGAGCAUUUCUACCCAAGUAAGUUUGUCUUGGUGAUGGACAUACUAAGCACACUGGCCAACUUAGUGUAUGUACGCCUCAAGCAGAAGUCACAGAAUGAAGGCUCACCUGCCAACAGUGCCAGUGCUGCCAAGUUGGAGGCACAGGAGACAGCUCGUAAUUGGUUCUACAAAGUGGCUUCCAUAAGGGAACUUCUCCCAAGAAUAUACUUGGAAGCUUCCCUCCUUCCAUGUUAUUCACUUAUUGACAAAAGAGAGGGGGAGGAGGCUCUUAUACGCCUUGCCCGCAUGACCCGUGGCAUUGGUGAUCCACUGAUAGCUGCCUACACACGCAUGUUUGUGUGCCGCAUGGGUGUGGACAUGGCCCCCUCCCUCACGCAGUACAUUGUGGACAGCAUUGAAGACUUUCUGCACACCCUCACACAGCUGGAAGGCACUUGGCCAGAAGGAGAAACUGACAUGAACAUGGGUGAGGAUAAGGAUGCUUUGGCAGCACGAGUGUUUGCUCCUCCGCUACAGUGGAUGAUGCAGUGCCUGGCUGGGAGAGCUCCACACCAGCAACUACAGGAUGUUGUGCGGAUGUGUGAGACUGCUGAGGGUUUGGGCCAGAAUCUGAUGGUGGCUGCCAUCCUCAACACAUUCCCUCAUGACUUCAUGGCUCUCCAUUCCCUUCUCCUCACACAACUCGUAGCUGCUUGCCCCUUUUCAGGUAAAAGUAAGCAUGAACUAGUUUCUGCCCUGGGAAGGUCCGUAAAUAAGGUUGCUCCAGCCCAGGCACAGCAAUUGUCUCUCCUGAAUGGUGUCUGGAAACUCAUCACUCACAUUCCACACAUUAAUGAUUAUCUCUCAGCUGCUGGUGUCUGGCUCGAGUACACUGCAAAGCAUUUUUCUUCUAUUGAGGUGAACACCCUACUUGGAGAUGUUCUCAAGCAUGUUGGAGCAGAGCGAACCCAGGAGCAGAUGCAUUACUCUGCCUUGCUCACACUGGUGUCCACAGCGCUCACCAACUCAACAGACCCCCAUUCACUCUUCUCUAUGACCAACUUCCUUGGCCUGCUGAGUGUGUUCCAGCGUGAUAGUGUGAGUACUGGGGAUGGAGUAACUCGUGGAGUGGUGGAGGCCCUGCUGAGCCAUCACCCUGGGCACAUCACCGACCCAGCACUAGUUCAGCACCUCCUCACUUUCUGUGGUGCCCUGCAUGACUCCAUAAAUGCCUUGACAACAGAUGAUGAAAGGAGGCAGUUGUCUCAGCUGAUCAUUUCUUUCAUUCGACAAGUUAAUUUUGGAAGAGACUUUGAACAGCAGCUUGAUUUCUAUGUUAAUGCCAGAGCAGCCUUCUCAAACCUCGACUCUGUCCUGGCUGCCCUCAUUCAGUGUGUGUGCCAGCUUGCUGUGGCCACAUGGCAAGUGGUUCACGGCCAGCACUCAGGCAAGACAGCAGCAUUUGUGCGUGCAUGUGCUGCCUAUUGCUUCAUCACAGUGCCCUCACUCACCUCUGCUGCCACUCGCCUCAGACUUUACCUCCUCUCAGGGAAUGUUGCCCUCAUGAACAACUGCCUGGGACAAGGAGAUGCAUGCAUGAAAGCAGCCAUCAGGGAAUUACUAGAAGUAGCCUGUUCACAAGACUCAGAAGUGGGAGGAAGUGUAUCUGAUGUUCUCCGCACUCUGGUAGCCAACUUGGCCUCAACUCUGAUUGCCACGCCAGACCCACCAGAUGCCUCACCACCCUUGUACUUGCUUCGAGGACUCACAAAUGCUGUCCGCUCAUUUCAGUGGCCGAAAGAAACAGAUACUCAAGCCUUCCUGUCAAUUUUAUUGUUACAUGCACUCUCGGCAGCAUCUCAAGAUGAGCUGCCGUAUCAUAUCCGCUCUGUUGAAGGCAACGACUCCUUGUAUGGGGGGGAUUCACGGGUCCAGCAGGAAGGAAAUGCGCUGUCAACAUUGCUGCUGCAAGAUGUUGUGACUCACUUGCAGGGCCUUGGCGGGGUGCAUGAGAAGCGCUGUGGACCUGUGGCCCUGGAACUGUUUUGGUGUAUAGUGACCUGGGGUGACCUGACUGAUCCUCACAUGAUGAAUGUUGCUGCACUCAUGUGGUCCUAUGUGACAAAGUACACACCCUCUCAGACUGUGAGAUCUGCAUGCCUAGGCUGUACAAGUAAAUGUUAAUGCCCAAUAAUUAAUUGGCACCACCGAGCCACCAUCCCUACUGGAACGUUUACUGCAAAGUAGGUCACCAGACAUUUCACAACCACUGUUUAACAUAAAGACGUGUGUAGCCUUACAGUAUUUCCUUGGGUUGACUUGAAUAAUCAUACCCUGCAAUAUACCUAAAUUUGUAGGACACUUUGUACAUAUGAGCAUGGAAAAUACGAAGAGCAUGAUACAUAUACAAGCAACACCACAAAGAUAAUGUAAUUAGAUCAGAAUCAGUUAAGUGGAGGCUUGGGAGCCUAGCUAACUAUGGAUUGUUUUUGCCAUGUCAACCUCAGCAAAUUCCUUUCAGCUGUCACCACUCUCAACAACAGCAACAACCUUAGCUCGCCUAAACAACGGUGUUGUUAUACAGAGCAUGUGUUUCAAUACCUACAUUCUUCUCAUUUCUGUCUACAUGUUCCUACGUACAUUAGUGCCUUACAUUCAGAGACCUGAGCAAUUGAGAUGCUUGCACUUCAUGUCCUCGUGGAACACUAUGUAAGUUUCGACAGGGGCUGCUGCUCACAGACUAUGUCGAUCCCAAGUAGACUUUUGACUAAGUGCACCAUGAGGCACUCUGGGAUAUUCUUCAGAUCCAUGGGAUUCCUGCAAGAAUUACUGACUUGACUGGCCUUUACUCUGGGACUGAGAGUGCUGUGAAGUGUGGGGGAAGCAUUUCUGAGUUUUCCCUUUUAAUUCAGGAGUGAGGCUGGGGUGCCACCUUGCUUUAUCACUUUUCAGCACUUGCAUGGACUGGGUAGUAGGCAAAGUUGUUGAUCUAAGUUGGUGCAGAGCAUCUGUCACCAACAUCAAGGUUACUUUUCACAGAAUCGCUGGAGGUCCUGGUGAUGGAUUUCGAAGUGCUGCAUGAAGAUGCGAUGCCUCUGUGACUGAAGGUCUCCUCAGUCAAAACAAAGGUCCAGUCGUUUAGAGACACUGGAUUACACAGUUUAGUCUGUUCAUGUAUGGCAGCAUAGUACAUAACAAUAGUGGGCAUUGCCAAGAAGUCACUUACCAGAUUGACCUGGGCCACAGUGUUAUGAAUUCACUUGGCACAAGUAUAUGACAUUGUCGAUAUCUAUGCAGGCAGAAAAAAAUUGUGCUCCCUGUUGUACUCUAUGUCUGUGAGACAUGGACACUGAAUAGUGACUUGGAGAGGCAUAUUGGUGCCUUUGGUACCAAGUGCCCCUUAAAAUCAUCAUUCAGUGUCCAUGUCUCACACCAGAGUUAAAUCGUGAGCACAAGCAACUUGAGGAUGCAGAUCUUUCUCUUUCCACACAAGUCCAUAACACUGUGGGCAUAUCCAAUCCGCCAUAAGCCUUCCUGAUGAGACCUACCAUUAUUUUGAACUACGUUACCAGUGUAUGUACAAUUUUCCAAGAUAUCACUGUCCUCGCCACACACAUGAAUACACUGUACUGUUUCAUCUGGCAGGCCUUCAAACACCUGUCCCUUGGUCUUGGCCCAAGAAAUCUUAAGACCUAAGGGUUUUGCCUCCUCAUGCAGUGCCUUGAGAGCCAUCACUAUAAUCUCCAGUGACUCAACAAGGACUACCUCAUCAUGAGCAGAAACAAAGUCAGUGGCCCUGGUAUUGCCAACAGAUGCUCCACAAUGACUCUGGUCUACAACUCUGCCUAGUACCCAGUUGAAAAGUGAUGGGGCAAGGACACAGCCCUGCCUCACUCCUGCAUUCACAGGAAAGAAGCUGGACACCCCCUUCCCCACCCCCACAUCAAUCUUUUAUGGGGCUUGAAAUGGAAAAGGUAACUCGGGGGGGAUGGUCGGGGGAGGUGGUGAGGCAAGCGACACGGCGCCUGACAUAUGUUCCCUGUUAGUUAAUUAGUUGUUUAAUUAGGCCAUAUUAGGUUAAAUUACUUAAAAUUGUUCUUCUACAUCCUAUGGUUGGCUCAUGCACCUGUAUAUUAUUAUCUGCUGGUUUACUAAGAAAAUAGUAAUACUAAAUACUUGUUGUAAUUAUGAAUUAUUGCUGACUGGCCUGUAUUCUGGGACCGAGAGUGCUGUGAAGUGUGGGGGUAGCUUGUCCCGCUUCUUUCCCAUGAAUGCAGGAAUGAGGCAGGGCUGUGUCCUUGCCCCAUUACUUUUCAAUACUUGUAUGGACUGGGUACUAGGCAGAGUUGUGGAGCAUCCAUUGGCAAUACCAGGGUCAAUGACCUUGUUUUUGCUAUGAUUUUAGUGAUGAGUCUCAAGGCACUGCAUGAGGAGGUAAAGCCCUUGGAACUCCAGGUCUCCUGGGCCAAGACCAAGGUGCAGGUGUUUGGAAGCUUGCUAGAUGAAACAGUACAUGCGUGUGGCAAGGACAUUGAGAUCUCAGAAAAUUUCACACCUUGGUAGCAUAGUUCAUAACAACGGUGAGUCUCGCCAGGAAGUCUUACGGUGGAUUGGCUUGGCCCAGAGUGUUAUGUACUCACUCAGCACAAGUAUAUGGCAAUGUCGAUACCUGUGCAGAAGGACAAAGAUCCAGAUCUUCAAGUCCCUUGUGCACCUUGUCUUACUCAUUGGCUGUGAGACAUGGACACUAAAUGGGGACUUGGAGAGGCAGAUUGAUGCCUGUGGUAAUAAGUGUCUACGCAGAAACAUUGGAUAUCGCUGGAAUGACUUUGUGUCAAACUGGUGACUACUUCGUGAGACUGAUUCGACAUAUAUCGCCUGCAUAGUCCAUCAACACAAACUCCAACUAUAUGGGCACGUGGCACAUUACCCAGAAGCUGAUCCUACUCAUCAAGUUGUCUCUGUAAGAGACAAUCCUGAGUGGAGGAGGCCAAGGGGACACCCACAGAGUUCGUGGCUUGAACAAGCCGAGAGAUCCUGCCACGAGGUACUCUGGAAGGGAAGGGGGCCUGCAUUGAGACUUGCCCGGAGGGACCCCCAGACUUUGCGUUGUAAGGUGGGCUAGGGGAUGUGCCCCCUGGCAUAUCCCCCCAUUGAUUUAUUAACUAAUAUAAUUAUGAAAAGAAAAAUUUAAUUUGACAUGGAUUUAAAACAUUCUUGAUAAUUGUCUGUGGCAGUGGCAGAGAUCUUUUCACAGGUGACUUUUUUGGAGGGUGGAGGUGAGGGGGGAACCUGGUGGCAGCCAAGCCAGUGGCACAAGCGAAUUUCAUUUGAAGUAGCUACUGUGAUAUAUGACUUGUUUGUCUCAUGCUGCUGUGGUGCUUCUCUUGACGCUGAAUAUAGGAUUGAAGAUGAAGAUCUGGAAAGCAUGUGGGUAAUCUUCUGCCACUCUUAACUAACUAACAGGGAGCAUAUGCCAGGGGCAUGUUGGUUCAUGCACCAGUAUCACUCACUAGUGUGGUUGCGAAGAUAUGCGAGAGGCUGGUUAAAAAUAGGUGGUCGGAUUUCUUAGAAAGUGAGAAAAUUAUCUCAGAUUGACAGUUUGGAUUCAGGAGAGGGAGAUCUUGCGUCACCAACUUGUGUUAUUACUCAAGGGUGACAGAUUUAAUACAAGAGAGAGAAGGCUGGGCGGAUGGAGUGUACCUGGAUUUGAAAAAGGCAUUCAACAAAGUACCGCACAGAAGACUAAUUUGGAAAAUUAAAAAUAGGGGUGGAGUGGGUGAUGGACUGAUUAAGUGGCUGGAGGACUUCCUAACUUUGAAAAAGGCAUUCAACAAAGUACCGCACAGAAGACUAAUUUGGAAAAUUAAAAAUAGGGGUGGAGUGGGUGAUAGACUGAUUAAGUGGCUGGAGGACUUCCUAACUAACAGAGAAAUGAGGACGAAAAUCAAGGACAGGGUUUCCAAUUGGUGCCCUGUGAUGAGUGGAGUCCCGCAAGGUUCGGUGUUGGCACCAAUAAUGUUUGCUGUUUAUAUAAAUGAUAUGGUGGAUGGAGGGUCCAGAUAUGUAAGUUUGUUUGCAGAUGAUGCAAAGUUAUUGUGAUGAGUGAAUAAUGUGAAGGACUGUGAGUAGGUGGAAGGACGCUUGGGUGCCAUAGGAGAGGUCAAAAUGCAGUGUACGUAUUCCAGAGAAACAUUCCACUCACAGUGCCGGCUAGCUUCAGACUGAGGAGAUAAACAGCGUCUCUGCGCGGUGACGUCAUCAAGCGUCAUGUCAUCGAGGAAACUCGUGUAAAAUCGAACAUAUCACAAACAAGUAAGAGAGUUGGUGAUGCAGCAGUCUCCACAUGCUAAAAGUGGCCUCCCACAACUGAUCCAGCACUGCAAAGGAUAGCGCACCAAUCACCAUAGUUUUCAUUGCUCAACUGACUCCUCAGAAUCCAUCACUAUUUACAAUGAUCUGCUGUGAUAAUUGUUACUAAUUUUAUAUUUUGUCAAGUGUGUAUGGGUCAUGGUAUGUGUAUAUACAGUUGCGUUGCGGGGUCCCGUCUCGGUCUCAGUUAAUAAAAUUUAUAUCUAAAUUAU
Eriocheir sinensis (Chinese mitten crab) is the source of this 7409-nucleotide RNA transcript. It is a transcript of the gene named VPS35 endosomal protein-sorting factor-like, with no coding region annotated. The record is from RefSeq and is a predicted model, not a curated record. The transcript is spliced from 23 exons. NCBI's taxonomy places the organism in Eukaryota, Metazoa, Arthropoda, Malacostraca, Decapoda, Varunidae.